CCGGGUUUCACACUGGCAAGGCAGGAGGCUGUGUGCUGCCAGAACGACCAGCAGGGGGCGCAAAGGCCACGCCAGGCACCUGCUGGCCUCAGAGAAAACAGAAAGGGAACCAGGAAGCCCACUCCUGCUGUCCUUUCUCUGCAAGGAAAUGUGCCAGGGCACUGCAGCCCAGACAGUCGGCAGUAGAGGACCCAUGAAGUAUCUUUGUGCAAAGAAAGCAGCAAAGAGAAUUAAGAGAAUUGCAUCAUAUAAAGAGUGAAUUAAACCAUCUAAAGGAGCAAAAAUUCAUCAUCACAUGGACAAGAAAUUAAGACCAGCUGGAAACCUAGGAGCAGAAGCCCAGCAUAAAGAUCUCUGAAAGCCUGGAUGCGUGGAUUCCUCUCUUACUUCCCAAAACGGUGGGGUGGAAAUGUGAAUAUCAGCAUGAUGCACAGAUCUCUGCAGAUGUCCAGCGAACUGAAUUUCUAGACGCUAUAAUCUAUGUUCUUUCCCAACCCCCACUUCAGUUUACAUAUCGCAGGCCAUAGAUCCUGUUUGUUGAAAAGCGAUCAGCUAGAAAACAAGAGUGGUUAUAACCUGUGCUGCCCAGUGAUCAGGAAAAGAGAGCGGAUGAAACUUCCAUGACUUUCUGUUAGUCUGAUUAAUAUCCAUGCCAAAUCCAUUUUCAGGGCAGAAGUGCUUUACCCACUUCAUUGAGAAACCACCUUUGCAUGCAGUACCCUGAGCUGUCUUCAGCACACCAAGCAUCCACAACAUGGGAAAUACCGUGCUUUAAAUGUUGCUUUAAUCACAGUGCUCAUGAGUAAGGGCAUGUCCUGUCUCUUAUCCAUGAAAACACUCCCACAAAAUGAAGUCACACCCAGUAUCUGUUAACGGAGAUACUGAGUGGGUGAAGAAGACUCAUUCCCUAAUGCAAUUCAGGUCACACAGGGUAAAAAAGAAAAAAAAAUCCUUUUCUGUUGAGGAUACAGAUGGAGAGAAAAUGGAAAAUGCCUUUCAGGAAGCACAAGCCUAGUUUUCUAAUUGUGUUUCAGUGAACACGCAGGUGAACUUACCUGUGUGGCUUGGUAUUGUGGUGGGUUUUCAGCUUCUUCUCCACCAAAUCCUUUGAAAAGCAGCAGUGGCAGAAACAAAUAACCCAAUUAAAAACAAUAAUAGCAACAAUAAAAAAAGAAAAGAUGAAGAAAGCAGUGGUUUUCUUUGGCUAGCUGAGGAACUUUCUACUAGGCGUUAGCAAUCUCUUUGUAAACUUUUUUCUUUACAGCAAAUGCUUCAUUCUCUAGACACAUGUCAAGAAUUUUCAAGCAUCGCCAGACUCAAUUCUUCACCCCCAUGUUAACAAUUAAAGAAUCAGCCGAAUGCCUGUGUUUAAGAAUCAAGCCCCUGAAACCUGUGAUUUGUACGUUACUCACACCCUCUAGUCCUAUUAGCAAGAGAUGCUGGGAGAACUUCUUGGUCAUCAAUUUGAUGAGUUCCAAGGGGAAUGUGGGUUUUGGUUGUGAUGUUCAUACACAUAGAAAUCUGGCUGAACACACGUACCUAAG
Molecule: long non-coding RNA, 1544 nt
Filed under: Homo sapiens (human)
Lineage: Eukaryota; Metazoa; Chordata; Mammalia; Primates; Hominidae
Description: non-protein coding LINC02372:17
Source: RNAcentral